RNAcentral lists this ribosomal RNA (865 nucleotides) under uncultured Verrucomicrobiota bacterium. Its description in RNAcentral is "bacterial SSU rRNA". It matches the Rfam family "Bacterial small subunit ribosomal RNA", at positions 50 to 883 of the family's 1533-position model. The record is from RNAcentral. Lineage: Bacteria; Pseudomonadati; Verrucomicrobiota.
AAGACAUGCAAGUCGUGCGACAGACCAGGAAUUGAUUACUUCGGUUUGAUUUUCCUGACGAUGAGCGGCGAACGGGUGCGUAACACGUGAGAAACCUGCCUUGAAGUUCGGGAUAGCUCGGCGAAAGUCGAAUUAAUACCGGAUGUGGCCUUGGGAUAGCAUUUUCCCUUGGUUAAAGCUCGGUCACAGAGCGCUUUUAGAUGGUCUCGCGGUCUAUCAGCUUGUUGGUGAGGUAACGGCUCACCAAGGCUACGACGGAUAACUGAUCUGAGAGGAUGAUCAGUCACACUGGAACUGAGACACGGUCCAGACACCUACGGGUGGCAGCAGUCGAGAAUCAUUCACAAUGGGCGCAAGCCUGAUGGUGCGACGCCGCGUGGGGGAUGAAGGGCUUCGGUCUGUAAACCCCUGUCAUCUGUGAGUAAGGUCUCGUAUAAAAGCUACGAGAAUUGAUAUUAGCAGAAGAGGAAGGGACGGCUAACUCUGUGCCAGCAGCCGCGGUAAUACAGAGGUCCCAAGCGUUGUUCGGAUUUACUGGGCGUAAAGGGUGCGUAGGCGGUUAGAAAAGUUUGGUGUGAAAUCUUCGGGCUCAACCCGGAAACUGCACUGAAAACUAUUUAACUAGAGGAUCGGAGAGGAGAUUGGAAUUCUCAGUGUAGCAGUGAAAUGCGUAGAUAUUGAGAGGAACACCAGUUGCGAAGGCGGAUCUCUGGACGAUUCCUGACGCUGAGGCACGAAAGCUGGGGGAGCGAAGAGGAUUAGAUACCCUCGUAGUCCCAGCCGUAAACGGUGCGCACUUGCUGUGGGCGGAUUCGACCCCGUCCGUGGCGAAGCUAACGCGUUAAGUGCGCCGCCUGGGGAGUAC